GAGAGAGAGAGAGAGAGAGAGAGACCGAAAGUUCAAUGAUAGAAAACCAAAAAUUGUUAUAAGAAAUUCAGUUAUCAUGAAUGAUGGUGAGAAAUGAAAUCACCUUAAAUCUUAUCAUGAAAACAUAGAAAAAGUUUGGCAACAACAAACAUCUUAAUCAAAGAAAUUAAUAAAAGAAUAGUUAUCAUUAUCUUAUCCAUGAUUUCAAAAGAUAUCAGAACUUUCAUCAAGAAAUUGAGAGUUAAAUUCAGUCUCAGAACAUUUUGACUCUGUUACUUUUUUCUCACUGGUUGAUUGAAAGAAAACACAACACAAUUCAAUCAGAAUUUUCUCAGAUUAAUCUAUUAUUAUUAUCAGAAUUCAAUCAUGAUAAUACUAAUCAAGAAUCAUUAUUAAUAUGUAAUAAUGAUCGUCAUAAUCAAUGACCAAUAUCAUCUCAAUUUAUCAUCAUUUGUAACCCAUCUAUAAGAUAAGAAAAUCAAAUUCAUAAUCUAUUGGGAAUAAAGUUUAUCUAAUGAUUUUUUUUUCUGAUUCUUAUCAUGAGCACGAUGAUGAUAAUCUGUCAUUUGAACACAAAGAGUAAUAGUUAUUACUCUUUGCUUAAAAGUGUUGAAAACUGUGAUUAAAUUGAAUUAGCAAGUUUUCUUAUACUUUUCUUAAUUUCUGAACUGAAUUUAAUCAUUAAUUAGAACUGAGGUGAAAGUUAGUUAAAAGUAUUAGUAGAUUGAGUGAUUUAACUGUAAAUAUUUUCUGUUUUCAAAUGAGCAGUGAAAAGGUUUUGCUUUGUAUUCAAUUUUGCAAGACAGUGUAAGAAGAAGGAAGUGUAAGGAAAGUAGAAUCAACCAGCUGAUCAGAGUUUUAUUGGUACCCAUCAAGAUUAUUUACUCAUGGACUCGUUUAACUGGUAAAUUAACCUCUAAUCUCCCGAUGAAAGUUUCCUCAUCAAUCUUGGACUUUCUGGUUUGUGUAAUAAAGAUCAUCUUUCAACAAUAUACAUGUAUUCCAAAGCUCCAUCUAAGAAUGGAAUGAACUACUUAAGAGUUUUGCUGAAAAAAAUUUGUUUCUACUUGUUAACGAAAAACUUUCAUUAUUGUUCUGAAUUAAUUUGUCUAUUUCUUGUGACUUUUCGAGUGCUUAAUGAUUUGUAUUCAACCUUCUUGCCACGAUGGAUAGACCAAUAUGCCCAUAUGUCGUAAACAGAAGCGCAAGUUAUGUGCCGAAGAGAAUAACUAAAACUACUCUUUUAGACUAUAAGGGGAUACCUGAAUAUACAGAGUCUCCUGGGGCCUUGAAAUAUCGGAAGAAAACGUGCCUUCGAUCAUACAAACCAUCGGAUAAAGCACCAGAUCCAAAUGAUUAUCGGAAAGUUGGAUGUGAAUAUUUACUUAAAAUGCGAAAGUUUGGGGGAACGACUGAAAUAAACGGCGAAAGUUUUUUGGUCUUCAAAUACCCAGAAAUGCUUACAACCCUUGAAGCAACAGUAAAUGAUCUGGGCAUCACAGAAAUUGACGAGUUAAAACUUCCAAGACGCAGCAUGAAAGAUUUUAAGAGACCCGAAUACUUUCUCGAGAUCGAGAAAACUGAUGAGUUUGUUUACCAUAUGAAACGAGCAAAAUUUACUCCGUUACUCUUUUCCUGCGUUUAUUGCGAUUGGGACUCGACUGAUCUUUCGGAGGUGAAAAAACAUUUAUUUGGACGAAAAGUCGGAAAAAAGGAAAAAAGUUUCCUUGUGAUCGAUUGUAAAGAGAGAAUGGUAAAAGAUGGAAUCGAAUAUUCAUCUGAUGAAGUUCCAAUCGAUCAUCCACCACCUCGAAUGUUCCCAUGGGCAUUAAUUUCAUGCGUCAGACCAGAGAUGGUUCGUUAUAAAGGAAAAUUCGACUUAACAGAUGCAAUUAAAGCCCAAUGGAAUCUAUUAAUGCUCGACAAGAGACCCAAAUAUCAUCGCUUAGUCAAAUAACUUCUAUUGUAAUUACACUUACACUUAGAUACAUUUCCACCAUUUUCCGCAUAUCCAAUGAUCUUGGUCUUACAUUCAAUCAUAAAGAUGGACCGAGCAGUUAGACUAACCGACGAAUAUGAUGUUCCAGGUCUAGUUUUCUAACUGGUCCAUCUUCAGAUUUUACAAUUUGUAUAAAGAACAGAGAAACAAUACAUUUAAUAUAAUUAAUUGUGAUUAGAGUAAAACUGCAACACUUGUACCUAAUAAAUGAACAUUUUCAGCAUCACGAAGAGUUUCAGACAAAAUAUUUAACCCUCAAUACAGAGACGCAACAUAAUUGAAUAGACUAGAACAUAAUUUUGGUUACCUGGUUAUUCAUGAUCAGCGAUUUUUCAUUUAUUUUGUUGAAACUUUCUGGUUCUCAUAAUAAUUAUCUUGCGAGAAGAUGAUUCAGGGCUCCAUCUAAGAAUGAAAAAAGUUACCAAUGAAGUUUUGUUGGGAUAAAUUCUGAGAACUUGGACAACACCAAAUUGUAUUAGUUUCUUAUUUUCCAAGUCAAAUCUUCCGUUCCUUGAUUGUUUCGUUACAACUAAGUGUUCUUAAUCACGAUGGAUCCACCCAAAUGUUCAUCUGAAAUAAAAACAAGUAAAGGUUUGGUGCCUAAGAAGCUCGAACCAAAUUUCGUCAAUAUGGGGCUUACAAGGGGCAGUAUUCGAACUGUGCCUGAUUAUUCGCGAAUUCCUAAGAAAACUGCACGUAAGUACUUCCUCUUUAUGUCUAAGAUUCCACUAAGAACUGUUUGUUUUUCCGUUUACUUUUCUUUUUGUUAAUAGGUUUUCUACCAUUGGAACCAGACAGAUUUAUAUUGGAAAUUCAGUUUAAGAAUGUUAAUCUUUUCGAAUUUCUGAAGAUACCUGAUUACUCAGAAUCUCCUGGGGCCUUGAAAUAUCGGAAGAAAACGUGCCUUCGAUCAUACAAACAAUCGGAUAAAGCACCAGAUCCAAAUGAUUACCGAAAAGUUGGAUGUGAAUAUUUACUUAAAUUGCGAAGACUUGUAGGAAUGAAAACAAGAUAUGGUCAGCCUAUUGGGUUUUUUAUGUACCCAGAAAUGUUUCUAUCCAUUGAUGCAUUAGAAAAUGAAUUGGGUUAUACUCAAAGCCAAUUAGCAGGAGCCAAACGAUGUUUCAAGUCCGAUUCAUAUAAGUUAGAUUGCUAUCUCGAGAAUACUGAUGAGUUUGUUUACCAUAUGAAACGAGCAAAAUUUACUCCGUUACUCUUUUCCUGCGUUUAUUGCGAUUGGGACUCGACUGAUCUUUCGGAGGUGAAAAAACAUUUAUUUGGACUAAAAGUCGGAAAAAAGGAUAAAAGUUUCCUUGUGAUCGAUUGUAAAGAGAGAAUGGUAAAAGAUGGAAUCGAAUUUCCAUCUAAUGAAGUUCCAA
Panonychus citri (citrus red mite) is the source of this 3378-nucleotide RNA transcript. RefSeq lists it as uncharacterized. The record is from RefSeq and is a predicted model, not a curated record. Lineage: Eukaryota; Metazoa; Arthropoda; Arachnida; Trombidiformes; Tetranychidae. The transcript is spliced from 3 exons.